Molecule: long non-coding RNA, 555 nt
Organism: Branchiostoma floridae (Florida lancelet)
Lineage: Eukaryota; Metazoa; Chordata; Leptocardii; Amphioxiformes; Branchiostomatidae
Exons: 3
Source: RefSeq, a predicted model, not a curated record
CAGGUUACCUUUAGCGCCGUCUGAUAUUCUGCCGAGCACGAUGAAGACGACCCUGGUGUUUCUUCUUGUUGUCCUGGUCAUCUCUGCCGAGAUGAUGACAACUGAGAGCUGCGGUCCCGGCCGCGGUAAUACUGGUGGCGACGGAAAACCAGCAGGCGGGUCCGAGAAGAACCAGCCAAUUGGUAAACGGGAGGUGGACAACAACCUGGUGGACAACAACCUGCAGCCAACAGGGGAAUGAUUUAUGGAACGGGCAGGCGGGGUGACUAUCACGUGCCCUCCGCGUGAUCACUGACGGCCGUCAAGAGUACUAGUUCUCUGGCAUAGAUUUAUUUGUAGUCAAGCGUUACGUUGCCAGCUGUGGCUUUGCCGAUCUGUAAUGAAAUGGGUAUGUAAGGGUUUGCUUGAGGUGCAUAAUUUUUCACAAAAUCUGUAGGAACAAGGCGAAACGAGUAGAGAUUCAACCGUUGCUUUGUCGGUAUUAUUCUGAAGAUGUAUGGUAUGCUUUUAAUACAUCAAUACUAAAAACGCAACAGUUUGGUACAUUUAGCAACU